Long non-coding RNA from Zea mays, 514 nucleotides. RefSeq lists it as uncharacterized. Lineage: Eukaryota; Viridiplantae; Streptophyta; Magnoliopsida; Poales; Poaceae. The record is from RefSeq and is a predicted model, not a curated record. The transcript has 2 exons.
ACACAGGAUGUCGAUGCCCGGACCGAGCGAUGCGAGCGGCUAUGGGAAACGACGAGGGAGCGACCACCAGAACGAGGAGAGACUCGCGACAAACUGCUCAGACCCGGUGCAAAUGAGCCACGGCCAGCGGCGUUGUGCUGGUGGGGAGUGACGAAGAUCGGCGGUGAGCAGCUGGGAAUGCAGCUGCUGGCGCGAGAGACAGAGAUGCGGUGCGGCCAGGAGCUUCAGCGGUGGGUUUAGGCUGGCUACAGCUACAGGAAAGCAUCAGAGAAGACGUGAGAGAGAAGUAGGAGGAUAAGGCAGCAGCAACAAAAAUCUGGAAUCUGGAGGAAGUGGAAAAAAAUAUCAAGGGUAGGAAGUUCAACGGUGACUAAUAAAAAUCUAGAGAACAGUAUAUUUUCCAUUUUGAUCUUUUGUUAUUUCUUUCUCAAAGAAUACUGGUACUAAACAGACCAAAACACAAUCAGGAUAGGAUAUUGAGACGCCAUUAAUUUAGUUGAAUCUAGAUAAAAAA